GACCUCAAAUCAGGUAGGACUACCCGCUGAACUUAAGCAUAUCAAUAAGCGGAGGAAAAGAAACUAACAAGGAUUCCCCUAGUAACUGCGAGUGAAGCGGGAAAAGCUCAAAUUUAAAAUCUGGCGACCUUUGGCCGUCCGAGUUGUAAUCUAGAGAAGUGUUAUCCGCGCUGGACCGUGUACAAGUCUCCUGGAAUGGAGCGUCAUAGAGGGUGAGAAUCCCGUCUUUGACACGGACUGCCAGGGCUUUGUGAUGCGCUCUCAAAGAGUCGAGUUGUUUAGGAAUGCAGCUCAAAAUGGGUGGUAAAUUCCAUCUAAAGCUAAAUAUUGGCGAGAGACCGAUAGCGAACAAGUACCGUGAGGGAAAGAUGAAAAGAACUUUGGAAAGAGAGUUAAACAGUACGUGAAAUUGCUGAAAGGGAAACGCUUGAAGUCAG
Molecule: ribosomal RNA, 437 nt
Filed under: uncultured fungus
Lineage: Eukaryota; Fungi
Description: eukaryotic LSU rRNA
Rfam family: Eukaryotic large subunit ribosomal RNA
Source: RNAcentral